GUGAAUGCUGUGCAAGGAGUCGUGGUAAGAAGGGGGAGGCAAGGGUAUAUCGGAAUUAUUGGGCUGAAAGGGUGGGUAGGCGUUUUCUGAAGUCGGGUGGUCAAUCCCUGGGCUCAACCCAGGAACGGCGUCCGAGACUGGGAGGCUAGAGUACUGGAGAGGUGGGUGGAAUGCCUCGUGUAGCGGUGAAAUGCGUAGAGAUGAGGAGGAACACCAGUGGCGAAGGCGGCCAACUGGACAGUAACUGACGCUGAGGCGCGAAAGCGUGGGUAGCAAACAGGAUUAGAUACCCGGGUAGUC
Molecule: ribosomal RNA, 300 nt
Filed under: uncultured Ferroglobus sp.
Lineage: Archaea; Methanobacteriati; Methanobacteriota; Archaeoglobi; Archaeoglobales; Archaeoglobaceae
Description: bacterial SSU rRNA
Rfam family: Bacterial small subunit ribosomal RNA
Source: RNAcentral